UACCAGCACCCCGAGCGGUCAGCGCGAUUAUUGGGCCUAAAGCAUCCGUAGCCGGUUUUACAAGUCCGCCGUGAAAUCCAGCUGCUUAACAGAUGGGCUGCGGAGGAUACUAUAAGACUAGGAGGCAGGAGAGGCAAGCGGUACUCAGUGGGUAGGGGUAAAAUCCGUUGAUCCAUUGAAGACCACCAGUGGCGAAGGCGGCUUGCCAGAAUGCGCUCGACGGUGAGGGAUGAAAGCUGGGGGAGCAAACCGG
This 253-nucleotide ribosomal RNA is filed under the name uncultured bacterium. RNAcentral's name for it is "partial 16S ribosomal RNA". It matches the Rfam family "Archaeal small subunit ribosomal RNA", at positions 474 to 727 of the family's 1478-position model. The record is from RNAcentral.